GCUGGGAUAGCUCAGUUGGUAGAGCAACGGUUUUGUAAACCGUAGGUCAGGGGUUCGAGUCCCCUUCCCAGCUCCA
This 76-nucleotide transfer RNA is filed under the name Oligoflexia bacterium. Its description in RNAcentral is "tRNA-Thr". It matches the Rfam family "tRNA". Rfam says of the family: Transfer RNA (tRNA) molecules are approximately 80 nucleotides in length. Their secondary structure includes four short double-helical elements and three loops (D, anti-codon, and T loops). The record is from RNAcentral. Lineage: Bacteria; Pseudomonadati; Bdellovibrionota; Oligoflexia.